This 72-nucleotide transfer RNA is filed under the name Thiothrix sp. RNAcentral describes it as "tRNA-Arg". It matches the Rfam family "tRNA". From Rfam's summary of the family: Transfer RNA (tRNA) molecules are approximately 80 nucleotides in length. Lineage: Bacteria; Pseudomonadati; Pseudomonadota; Gammaproteobacteria; Thiotrichales; Thiotrichaceae. The record is from RNAcentral.
GGCCCAUAGUUUAAUGGAUAAAACGGCCCUCCUAAGGGGCAGCUACAGGUUCGAUUCCUGUUGGGGCUGCCA